Molecule: ribosomal RNA, 492 nt
Filed under: uncultured bacterium
Lineage: Bacteria
Description: partial 16S ribosomal RNA
Rfam family: Bacterial small subunit ribosomal RNA
Source: RNAcentral
AGUGAACGCUGGCGGUAGGCCUAACACAUGCAAGUCGAACGGCAGCACAGUAAGAGCUUGCUCUUACGGGUGGCGAGUGGCGGACGGGUGAGGAAUACAUCGGAAUCUACUUUUUCGUGGGGGAUAACGUAGGGAAACUUACGCUAACACCGCAUACGACCUACGGGUGAAAGCAGGGGAUCUUCGGACCUUGUGCGAUGGAAUGAGCCGAUGUCGGAUUAGCUAGUUGGCGGGGUAAAGGCCCACCAAGGCGACGAUCCGUAGCUGGUCUGAGAGGAUGAUCAGCCACACUGGAACUGAGACACGGUCCAGACUCCUACGGGAGGCAGCAGUGGGGAAUAUUGGACAAUGGGCGCAAGCCUGAUCCAGCCAUACCGCGUGGGUGAGGAAGGCCUUCGGGUUGUAAAGCCCUUUUGUUGGGAAAGAAAAGCAGCAGAUUAAUACACCACUGUUCUGACGGUACCCAAAGAGUAAGCACCGGCUAACUUCGUG